Peromyscus californicus insignis is the source of this 470-nucleotide long non-coding RNA. RefSeq lists it as uncharacterized. The transcript has 2 exons. Lineage: Eukaryota; Metazoa; Chordata; Mammalia; Rodentia; Cricetidae. The record is from RefSeq and is a predicted model, not a curated record.
CUGGACUCUGCUCUGAUUUAUUGCCUUCAUACGCCAGAGACCAGAGAAGAAAAAGAAGGGAUAAGAAAAGGGCCAGAACAGGAAGGUGUGUUCCAGUUCGCAGCUGUGUCUCUAACCGAACACUACAGCCACCUUACCUGACUCUCCAUAUCCCUGUGACGCUGGCUCUCUGGUCUCUUCACUGGCCUGAUAUGAAACAGGAAUCUCCGAGGCUCUACACAGUCGGAUUCAUCUGGCACCAUGUUCUCCUUUACUCUGCGUGUGUCUGUCCACAUAAGUGGCCUGGAGUUCCUUAGAGGUCCCCUGUGCCUGCCUGCCUCGUUCCAGGCCUUUCUGGAGCCUGUUCCCUCUCCUUGGAAUGUUCUCCCUCCCACUCACUCUGAUAGGAUUCUCUCCUGGAGCCCUUUCCUGACCCUCACCAGGAUCAGCCCUGGCAGGAUUGUCAACAGUUGACCUUCAGAGCUCCCUGU